GACAGAGGGUGCAAACGUUGUUCGGAAUUACUGGGCGUAAAGCGCGUGUAGGCGGCUAUGCAAGUCGGAUGUGAAAGCCCUCGGCUCAACCGGGGAAGUGCACCCGAAACUGCAAGCUAGAGUCUCGGAGAGGAUCGUGGAAUUCUCGGUGUAGAGGUGAAAUUCGUAGAUAUCGAGAGGAACACCGGUGGCGAAGGCGGC
Molecule: ribosomal RNA, 201 nt
Filed under: uncultured bacterium
Lineage: Bacteria
Description: partial 16S ribosomal RNA
Rfam family: Bacterial small subunit ribosomal RNA
Source: RNAcentral